RNAcentral lists this ribosomal RNA (516 nucleotides) under uncultured beta proteobacterium. Its description in RNAcentral is "bacterial SSU rRNA". It matches the Rfam family "Bacterial small subunit ribosomal RNA", at positions 9 to 522 of the family's 1533-position model. The record is from RNAcentral. Lineage: Bacteria; Pseudomonadati; Pseudomonadota; Betaproteobacteria.
GAGUUUGAUCAUGGCUCAGAUUGAACGCUGGCGGCAUGCCUUACACAUGCAAGUCGAACGGUAACAGGUCUUCGGACGCUGACGAGUGGCGAACGGGUGAGUAAUACAUCGGAACGUGCCCAGUCGUGGGGGAUAACUACUCGAAAGAGUAGCUAAUACCGCAUACGAUCUGAGGAUGAAAGCGGGGGACCUUCGGGCCUCGCGCGAUUGGAGCGGCCGAUGGCAGAUUAGGUAGUUGGUGGGAUAAAAGCUUACCAAGCCGACGAUCUGUAGCUGGUCUGAGAGGACGACCAGCCACACUGGGACUGAGACACGGCCCAGACUCCUACGGGAGGCAGCAGUGGGGAAUUUUGGACAAUGGGCGAAAGCCUGAUCCAGCAAUGCCGCGUGCAGGAUGAAGGCCUUCGGGUUGUAAACUGCUUUUGUACGGAACGAAAAAGCUUCUCCUAAUACGAGAGGCCCAUGACGGUACCGUAAGAAUAAGCACCGGCUAACUACGUGCCAGCAGCCGCGGUA